This is a long non-coding RNA of Nannospalax galili (Upper Galilee mountains blind mole rat), 1081 nucleotides long. RefSeq lists it as uncharacterized. NCBI's taxonomy places the organism in Eukaryota, Metazoa, Chordata, Mammalia, Rodentia, Spalacidae. The transcript is spliced from 6 exons. The record is from RefSeq and is a predicted model, not a curated record.
UCUGGCUUCUGCUUCUUCAGCCAAGCUGCCUCGGUGUGGGUUAACAACGACAGAAAUCUGGAGAUAGUCCAAAUGGGAUAGAGACUGUGAAGCUCAACGCUGCGGGUGCCUCAGUCAGGAGGAGCGUUCUUAGCACCCUACCAGCAGGUAUGUGCUUACCAGAAAACUAAAGCCUGUGGAAGCCAAAAAGCACGAACACCAGGGAGCUGCUGUUGAACUGUAAGAAAGAACCUGAUGCUGGGACAGAACACCGAAUACUGUCAUCAAAAUGUGCCUUCUGUCAUACCCUGCUGCAACUAUAUUCCAGGGAUCUGAAUUUUGCCAGAAUGUGCCAUAGUACUCAACCCCUCGAAGUCAUUGAGAACCAGUUGGGCACUGUAAGAAUUACAGAAGAAAAAUCAAACCUGGUCCUUGCUCCAAGGCACUGACAAAUGGGUAAACUUCCUUCUUUUUAUGUCUGUGGAUGUUCUCUACUGAAGAAAGUGUGCCCGAGCUGAUUCAGUCACUGUACUACAAACCCACUGAGAGAGCUGAAUGGCUCGUGUCACUGAGCCUAAUCUCAUUGAGCCAUAAUAAAGUAGCGAGUCGUGGAGAUGACCAUGCAACAAAGGCAGACCUCCCUUGCCACACCUGCCCACCCGGCCAAUGUUAACUGUCACCACUGCUGAAUCUCCAGUCUUCCAGCAGCAGAGACCAGCACUGAGUCCUCAAAUUGACCCCAGUCCUUCAAUGCUCAGUCAGCAAGUUGGUGGCUGGUUGAUUACAUGGGAACUCCUUCAACAUAAAAGGAGAUUGUAUUUUUGUUCUUAACCACAACAGAUACUCUGGGUGUCUUGCUUCUGCCAAUACUACCAUCCACAAACUUAUAGAAUGUUUUAGCCAGUGUUGCGGUAUGCUGUGCAGCAUCGUUUAUGAUCGAGGAACUAACUUCAUUGUAAAAGAAGAAUUGUCAACAAGCAAGUGCUUAUGGCAGUCACUGGCCUUACCAAAUUUGCUAUCAUCCUAAAGUAGGUGGUUUGAUAAAAGGUGGACUAAGGGACGUCUGGGGGCACUAACUUGCUUAACACAAAUGACUGGAUGC